RNAcentral lists this long non-coding RNA (737 nucleotides) under Phoenix dactylifera (date palm). RNAcentral's name for it is "long non-coding RNA (PDAC_LNC011636)". Lineage: Eukaryota; Viridiplantae; Streptophyta; Magnoliopsida; Arecales; Arecaceae. The record is from RNAcentral.
CAUUAAAAUAUUAAGAACAAGCAUGUCAAGGAUCAAAAUCAAUUCUUUUCAAAUAAACUCCUCCUAUUUAAAUAUAAUCUUGCAUUGAUUUCAUCCUUAAAAUGUGUUUUCAAGUGAUUAAAAAAUUUGACUUGAUUCUUCUUAUAUACUUUCAUUUACUUUGUCUUUCAUUUUUACCUUCUUAUGCUCUAUACUCUAUUUGCUCCCUAUUCGGUGGAGUUGGAAGGGGCACGAGGUACUACCACUAGCCUCCCUCUUGUGCCGUCCCUAAUAUACCCUACACCGAAUAGUUAGGUCAAAUAGUGCCGGGUACUACCACUAGCCUCCCCAUUGGCACCAUUCCUAUGAUGAGCAAUAUAGAAAGGUUAAAACGUUCACUUCAAACUCUCCCUGUCUAAGUAUAAUUAAUUACGGAUUUUAUCUCUUUCAAAAGAAUGCUCACACAAGUCUCACAAAUGUGCCGAAUAUAUUAUGCUUGUUUUGCUUUUUCUUAAGAUUGAAGUAUUUGCCUUCACUUAGAUUUUACUUCUCUUGAAUAAUAUCCAUUUUCUUUUCUUUAUCUCUCUCUCUUUUUGUUAUUCUCAAGUAAUUUACAUGAAAGAGCAGAAUAAAGAAAUAAUCUUAUGUAUCAUAUAGAUGUAUAUCAUGCAAACAACAUUUUCAUUAUGCUCAAGAAUUCAUAGCUUCUCACAAGUCAAUUCAAAUCAGCAUUUUAAGCAUAAACUUGUGUAUUUCAU